GGGGGUAGCUUAAUUGGUUAGGACAUCUCGUUUACACCGAGAGGGUCCGCGGUUCGAAUCCGUGACCGCCCACCA
This 75-nucleotide transfer RNA is filed under the name Bradyrhizobium shewense. RNAcentral's name for it is "tRNA_Pseudo_TAC". It matches the Rfam family "tRNA". From Rfam's summary of the family: Transfer RNA (tRNA) molecules are approximately 80 nucleotides in length. Their secondary structure includes four short double-helical elements and three loops (D, anti-codon, and T loops). The record is from RNAcentral. Lineage: Bacteria; Pseudomonadati; Pseudomonadota; Alphaproteobacteria; Hyphomicrobiales; Nitrobacteraceae.